Long non-coding RNA from Telopea speciosissima, 143 nucleotides. RefSeq lists it as uncharacterized. The record is from RefSeq and is a predicted model, not a curated record. The transcript is spliced from 3 exons. NCBI's taxonomy places the organism in Eukaryota, Viridiplantae, Streptophyta, Magnoliopsida, Proteales, Proteaceae.
AAAGAGAGGAGGCAAAAGGGUUUUGCGAUAAAACCCAUCUGCAGGAGGCCUCGCUCAAAUCAUGGCUGGUUUCUUGAGUGGUUUGGAGAGUAGGGUUUUUAUUAGAAAUGAAAAAACAAUAAUGGGUUCAAUUUCUCAGUUUU